AGCGAACGCUGGCGGCGUGCCUAACACAUGCAAGUCGAACGCGAAAGUCCCGCAAGGGAUAAGUAGAGUGGCAAACGGGUGAGUAACACGUGGGUGACCUGCCUUCGAGUGGGGAUAACGUCCCGAAAGGGACGCUAAUACCGCAUGAUAUCCCGCCUUUUAACAGGUGGAGCUCAAAGCUGGGGAUCGCAAGACCUAGCGCUCGGAGAGGGGCCCGCGCCCGAUUAGCUAGUUGGGGGGUAACGGCUCACCAAGGCAACGAUCGGUAGCCGGCCUGAGAGGGCGGACGGCCACACUGGGACUGAGACACGGCCAGACUCCUACGGGAGGCAGCAGUGGGGAAUUGUUCGCAAUGGGCGCAAGCCUGACGACGCAACGCCGCGUGGAGGAUGAAG
This 395-nucleotide ribosomal RNA is filed under the name uncultured bacterium. Its description in RNAcentral is "bacterial SSU rRNA". It matches the Rfam family "Bacterial small subunit ribosomal RNA", at positions 30 to 413 of the family's 1533-position model. The record is from RNAcentral.